UACGUAGGUGUCAAGCGUUGUCCGGAUUUAUUGGGCGUAAAGCGCCCGCAGGCGGCUUGCCAAGUUCGAUGUGAAAUCUCCCGGCUCAACUGGGAGGGUGCAUCGAAAACUGGCAGGCUUGAAUAUGGAAGAGGGUCGCGGAAUUCCCGGUGUAGAGGUGAAAUUCGUAGAUAUCGGGAGGAACACCAGUGGCGAAGGCGGCGACCUGGGCCAAUAUUGACGCUGAGGUGCGAAAGCGUGGGGAGCAAACAGG
This 253-nucleotide ribosomal RNA is filed under the name uncultured bacterium. RNAcentral's name for it is "partial 16S ribosomal RNA". It matches the Rfam family "Bacterial small subunit ribosomal RNA", at positions 524 to 776 of the family's 1533-position model. The record is from RNAcentral.